This 29-nucleotide non-coding RNA is filed under the name Mus musculus (house mouse). Lineage: Eukaryota; Metazoa; Chordata; Mammalia; Rodentia; Muridae. The record is from RNAcentral.
UGAUGUUCUUUUCAUCAAGUAAAGCAGGU